CUAUUGUUCACCACAGGAGGGCGCCGGAUCAUACAGCUGCCCUGACCAGGGGACAAGCCUGGGCAUUCAGAUGGGGCUGGCUGUCGGCGCCAGCUUUGUUUUGCGGCGCCGCUCCCUACACUCUUUAGAAUUAAUAUUUAUUCCAUACCAUUGUAUUCAGGAAGUAUAUGGAAUGAGGAACGGAGUACUAUUCCAUAUGUAAUGAUCUAAGCACGUUGUAUUCAUAUACUUUCUCUAGAGAAAAGUCUGAAAGAUAAGAAACAGCAGAGGAAGUGAAAGACUUGUAGUUAAGGAAGGCGGGAAUGGAUUGGAGCCACUUGUGAAGACUCAAUUUUCUACUACUGAGAAAACCAGAACCAUGUACUAAGCACUCUGAAGGCAGGUAACCUGAGAAGUAUUCCAUAUACCUGACACUAAUGAUUUGUGGCACUACUGUAUAUUUACUAAGUCAUGAAAUAUUUGUCUAAUAUUGUUAAUAUG
This is a non-coding RNA of Rattus norvegicus (Norway rat), 480 nucleotides long. Lineage: Eukaryota; Metazoa; Chordata; Mammalia; Rodentia; Muridae. The record is from RefSeq and is a predicted model, not a curated record.